Long non-coding RNA from Sarcophilus harrisii (Tasmanian devil), 624 nucleotides. RefSeq lists it as uncharacterized. The record is from RefSeq and is a predicted model, not a curated record. The transcript is spliced from 2 exons. NCBI's taxonomy places the organism in Eukaryota, Metazoa, Chordata, Mammalia, Dasyuromorphia, Dasyuridae.
GGAAGGAAGCAGGGAGGGGAGGGGGCUGCAGAGACAUAGACUGGUCUGGAAACCUCAAAGGCUCAGUCUGGCUGAUGACGAGGGUGAGGCUCCCAAUCUCAGCCGAGGUUCCGGACGGUCCAGGGACAGGGCCUCUGGGGUGGGGUGCAAGUGAAAGGGGGUUCUAGAAGCCCGGAACUGACAUUUACUGACAAUAACGGAUACAGCUGCAAAAUAGCCUUCCCGAGGGCACUCGUGCCACGUUUCCAUGAGCCCCUCCCCCAUCGGCCCCCCCAAACCCCCACAUAUUCCCUCUCAUGCAGAAGCACACUGCAGUGCCAUCUCCACUCCCUCCUUGCCUCCCCCCUCCCAAGCAGCUGGGAGAUCUGGCAGCUGAACCUCAGGGACCCUCCCACUAAGGCACAUUCCCUACCCCAGCUUUUGCCCCCCCCCCAAAAAAAACCCCUCCCUUUACACCAAAGAUUCUGUCCUAUAUGUCUGUGUCAUCCCCGGCUGCAAAAGGAUGGGAGCUGCUUAUGUGCCUCCACUUCUCUUUGGGACUCCUUUAGGAAGAUUCUGAGAGGAAAAAAAGCUGAGGGAAGACUAGGGGCCAUAAAAGAGGAAGAGAUACCGCCUCUCCCCCCA